Molecule: long non-coding RNA, 633 nt
Filed under: Lathyrus oleraceus (garden pea)
Lineage: Eukaryota; Viridiplantae; Streptophyta; Magnoliopsida; Fabales; Fabaceae
Description: Pisum sativum (pea) long non-coding RNA (PSAT_LNC033929)
Source: RNAcentral
AAUAAUCCAUGUCCAAAGCAAUCCAAACAUUACAUUUCAUUCAAUUUACAACUGCAAGCUCAAAGUUCAUGUUCCAAAUACAUAACUAUUUUAAAUUAUAUACUUCAAGGCAUUUUCCAUACAUCAAUUAUGCCAUUUCCAACAACGUACAAAUUUUCGACUCGAGCAUUUCUCAUUGAGCCAUUCAAACUUCAAAAUAACCAUACAUAUUCAAGUUUACCUUGCCAUGUACUCAAAUUACAACACAUAAACGCAUUCAUUUAACAAGUUCCAAAACAUAUUACAAUAUUCAAACAUAGCUAUAUCUACCAAGAUCAAUCCGGAACAUCCAACGCGGUCUCGUCUCCUUCCAAUGCACAUCUUCCCAUGGCUCAUUCCAAUGCACUCCAGGACAACCUACAACCUGUUGCAAAAAGCUGUUCUUUAGAAAUUUUGCAAAAAAGCUGUUAUGUGAAAAAUUUGGAAAAGUUGUUGUGUCAACUUGGAGCUUACACUGUUCAGUCUAUCCAUUUUGUUCGUGAUGGAAUAGAUCAGGCCCAUAGCAGAUCUGCCCACAACAAUGUCAUUACAAUUCGUAACCAAUCAUAACAACAACAGGGUAUAACAGAACCAAGAAAAUUCAGGGGAGUUAGA